GAGGGUAUAGCUCAGUAGUAGAGCACAUGCUUAGCAUGCACAAGGUCCUGCGUUCAAUCCCCAGGUACCUCCA
Molecule: transfer RNA, 73 nt
Filed under: Camelus bactrianus (Bactrian camel)
Lineage: Eukaryota; Metazoa; Chordata; Mammalia; Artiodactyla; Camelidae
Also listed under: 1 other name
Rfam family: tRNA
About the family: Transfer RNA (tRNA) molecules are approximately 80 nucleotides in length. Their secondary structure includes four short double-helical elements and three loops (D, anti-codon, and T loops).
Source: Rfam by way of RNAcentral